RNAcentral lists this ribosomal RNA (328 nucleotides) under uncultured eukaryote. RNAcentral's name for it is "partial 18S ribosomal RNA". It matches the Rfam family "Eukaryotic small subunit ribosomal RNA", at positions 592 to 900 of the family's 1831-position model. The record is from RNAcentral.
CAAUAGCGUAUAUUAAAGUUGUUGCGGUUAAAAAGCUCGUAGUUGGAUCUUGGAGCGUGUGCUUGCGGUCACAUUUCGGUGUGUACUGCUUGACGUGUUCUUCUAUUUGGUUGCGCGUGUGUGUGCUCUUAACUGAGUGCCGCAUUCGACCGAAACGUUUACCUUGAAAAAAUUAGAGUGUUCAAAGCAGACCUUUUUGUGUCUGAAUAUUCGUGCAUGGAAGUAAUAGAAAUAAUGAAUUACGGUUUCCGUUAUUUUUGUUUUGGGUUUUUCGGGUUAACCGUACGAGUUAAUUAGAUUAAGUAGGGACGAGACGGGGGCGGAUUCG